GACAGAGGUGCCAAGCGUUAGGCGGAAUCACUGGGCUUAAAGCGUGUGUAGGCGGGUGCCUAAGUAACUUGUGAAAUCCCCCGGCUCAACCGGGGAACGGCUGGGUAUACUGGGUGCCUUGGGUCAUCUAGGGGCUGCCGGAACAAAUGGUGGAGCGGUGAAAUGCGUAGAUAUCAUUUGGAACGCCAACGGCGAAAGCAGGCAGCUGGGGAUGCACCGACGCUGAGACACGAAAGCCAGGGGAGCGAACGGG
RNAcentral lists this ribosomal RNA (253 nucleotides) under uncultured bacterium. RNAcentral describes it as "partial 16S ribosomal RNA". It matches the Rfam family "Bacterial small subunit ribosomal RNA", at positions 524 to 776 of the family's 1533-position model. The record is from RNAcentral.